This 3447-nucleotide ribosomal RNA is filed under the name Triticum aestivum (bread wheat). Its description in RNAcentral is "partial small subunit ribosomal RNA". The record is from RNAcentral. Lineage: Eukaryota; Viridiplantae; Streptophyta; Magnoliopsida; Poales; Poaceae.
AUGGGUUCAAAUAGGCUACCCUUUGGAUUCAUUUCGGGAGGAUAUAGCUGCAGUGAGCAAUAUGAUUGGCAGCAGUUAACCCUUCGUCAAAGAGAACAAGCAACAAGGGAGCAACCCCAUAGCAGUGCAAACUUGAGGACUGAGAGGACUAGUCCAUCCUUUGAUCGUGUUUGUAAUUAUGCAAAAGGGGCUGAUGGACAUAUUCAUGAUACGGUAACCCUUGGCAAGGUUUGUCAGUUUAAUGGGGGAAGUAGCACUCAGAAUGGACCUUAUCAAGCGGACCAAUAUCUGCCAUCUUACUUUCCAGUUGACCAUUUUUCUGAGAUAGAUGAAGCGCGGCAUCGGGCUUACAUGGACAGUUUCUACACUGACAAUAAUCCUGAUCACACCUCAGCUAGUCGGUUGCUUCAUAGGGAUGAACAAAGGAAAGCUUACACCAAGAAGCCAUUUAAGAAAUUGCACACUAUAAAAAAUUCAAAAAAACUGCGCACUAUCCAUCCUAGGCAACCUGAGCUUCCACUCCGUGAGGAUUUUCAUGAUAGGUUGGGCAUUAGAAAUUGCAGGAAUGCUUAUCAUGGCAAGAGGUUAAAAACAAAACCGGCAAGAUGGAGUUCUCAGAAAAACAAUUCCAGUGUGCCUUGUGUUGGUAAACAUGGGAGAAGCAGUCGGCAGACAAGAUCUGGAGAACAACCGUUUGAACAGGAAGCUGAGAACAGUAGACACAAAAGGUAUGGAGGUCCGCUGGCCGGAGAGAAAGCUAAGAAGCGUAUGAUUUAUGAGGGGCACCGUAAAGGAAUAUGUUCACGUCGUGAGCAAGAUGAGCAUCUGCAUCAUGAGGUACAUCGUAGUGGUUCUGAUACGAUGAGAAAUGACAAUUGGGAGAAAAAUGCUGAAACAAACGAUGAAGUAGAUCAUAAUGGAGCAGAAGGGAACUGCCAUCUAAUGAAGAAUAUUCGGACCGCUGCUGCUACAUGCUGUGGCUCAACAAAGUCUAAUGAAAACUCACAUGUUUUAUGUCCCAAGUACAGCAGCAAAACCAUUGCUUCAUCAAAUGAGCCAAAAGGGAGUAGCAACAUGAAAUUAGUAUCUGACAAGCAGCCAAGUGUUGUUGGUUGUACCAAAAGACCUCGAAACACAAGAACUGGAGACGUUUCGACACGUAACCUGCAGAAUCUCUCAGUCACUCAUAUGGAGAAGGGCAUGCAUACAAAGCAAGCUGAUAAUACUUCUCAUUCUGAAUUACUUCGCGAAUGUCUAGAUAUUUGGAGAAGAAGAAGAUUAAGGAAGGAAAGCAGUGCUGAAGCUAAAAAACUAGAUCAAACAGGUACUGCGGGGCAUGAAUGGUCUGCUUCUUCUUGUAGCUCAGAAAGUGAUGAUGAAAAUGUCAAUGCAUCUGAGAGUGCUUCUGGGAACUCAGAAAGUGCGGCUGAAAAUGAUACUGAAUUGGAGAAUUCCCAAAAAUGUAGAGGUGCAACGUCGCUUGAUGGAGUACAAAACCGUGGUGAGGGAAGAGCAAUGAUAAAUACAGAGCAGCCCUUGAGAUGCCUCAGUGGUACAAACUACAACAAAAGCUCAGCCAAGCAAGGGCUGAAGUGCAAUCUGGAGGUUUUGCAAGAACCACAUCCAGGUGAAAUCAUGCAGCAAAAGGAAGAGAAUAAACUUCCAUGCUGUCUACCAUCAACUGUUCAUCCAAAUGGCAUGAUACAAACUAGUCAGAACAGUUGUUCUGAUACUAGCAAGAAACAAACUAGACGGAACAACUGGGCAGAUAUUAGUAAGGUAGAUCAAGCAGCUACUUAUCCUGAUAGUAGUGUGUAUCGGAAUGUUUCUCAGCACGAGACUGGCAAUCAUUUGGAUGAUGGGAGAAAAUAUAAACUGGGCAUCGGCUGUGAAAUUAAAAGGAAAGCAGCACAAGGCAAUGGUCCCAAAUGGUUUGAACAAAUGCCCAGUUUGAUAACAGGUCCAACACUGCUGGAUCAAAAAAGUCUUGCAGUUUGCCCUCCUGAUGAUGGUAAUGUGAAGGUGUGUGGGUCAGAGUGUUCCAAUCAGUGCAGUAAAACUACUUUAGAAUUGGAGAAAGGGAAGAAGUCUGUCAAUUGCUCCAGUGGAACUGACUGCAGAGUCAUAAAAAUUUGUUCCAGUGAUGGUGAUUGCAGAGACAUCCGACAAGAUACCAUGAAUUGCAGAAGAAAGAGGCAAGUGUCUUUAUCUCUGGCAGACUCUGAAAAUGAUAAAGGAACAAAGGAAGAUUAUCAGCCACCUGGAGUUCUUGAAGUGAGAUCAAAUCGACAGAUUUCCUGCCUAUCUGAUGUUGGCAUAAAAAUACCUGACGUUGCUAGACCAGCUGAUUGCACCCCACGUUUUACAAUACCAGACUUAAAUUGUUUGCCUAGUAUGAUCGCAGAUGAAGAAGAAUUCGAGGCAUCUCAAGAAGUGAUUAAUCAAGUAACUGGGCACGGUUCGGAACCACAUGAUGCUUGUCCGAGCCUUUCUGCCUUUAGUGGGCCUGCUGUGCAGGAAGAACAGUUUAAGCAACCAGAGAAGAAUGAAUUUGUCGGAGGAAUUUGCGCAAAAACGGUUGCAAAUGGUUCACGGAUCUCUGAUUCACAUAGUGCAAAGGGCGUGGUUAAUCAGGCAACUGGGCAGGAUACUAGUCAGAGCUUUUCCGCCUUUAGUGGGCCUGCUGUGCAGGAAGAACAGUUUAAGCAACCAGAGAAGAAUGAAUUUGUCGGAGGAAUUUGUGCAAGAACGGUUGCAAAUGGUUCACGGAUCUCUGAUUCACAUAGUGCAGAGGGAGCGGUUAAUCAGGCAACUGGGCAGGAUACUAGUCAGAGCUUUUCAGCCUUUAGUGGGACUGCUGUGCAGGAAAAACAGUUUAAGCAACCAGAGAAGAAUGAAUUUGUCGGAGGAAGUUGCACAAGAACGGUUGCAAAUGGGUCACGGAUCUCUGAUUCACAUAGUGCAAAGGAAGCGAUUAAUCAGGCAACUGGGGAGGAUACAAGUCAGUGCUUUUCAGCCUUUAGUGGGACUGCUGUGCAGGGAAAACAGUUUAAACAAUCUGAAAAGAAUGAAUUUAGUGGAGGAAUUUACGAAAGUGAGAUUGCAAAUGGUUCGCGGAUCUGUGAUUCACAUAGUGGCCCACCAAAACUAAGUACUGAUGAAGAAAGUAUCACAGCAUUCAAAUGUGCCCUCGGCGAAUUCAUAAAAAAUAUCUUAAGGCCUCUGUGGGAAGAAGGCCUCUUAUCUCGUGAGGUCCACAAAAUUAUAGCGAGGAAAGCCGUGGAUAAAGUGGCCUUGACAUUGGGCCCAAAGGUGCCUCGUACAGAAGCAGCCAUCUUUAGGUUUUUUGCAGAGGAAUCUCAGAGUGUAGAACAACUCGUUCAGGGUUACUUGGAUAUAUACCUGGGAAAGCAAGUUCUUAAGAGAACUAUGCCUGGCAGGUUAUGA